Molecule: long non-coding RNA, 1100 nt
Filed under: Nannospalax galili (Upper Galilee mountains blind mole rat)
Lineage: Eukaryota; Metazoa; Chordata; Mammalia; Rodentia; Spalacidae
Description: lncRNA (ENSNGAG00000024393.1)
Source: RNAcentral
CCACCAUGCCCGGCCAUUGCCCUGUUUUACCAAAUGUUCUUCUUUUCCCCUUGGCAGAAUUUGCGAAGGAUAACUCCUGUGGAGCUUGCAGAUGUGGAGCAGUUAUAUGAAUUUCAUCCUCCUGUUUGGAUAACUGACACUACACUUCGAAAGUCUCCCUUUGUUCCUCAGAUGGGUGAUGAGGUAAUCUAUUUUCGUCAGGGCCAUGAAGCUUACAUUGAAGCUGUUAGAAGAAAUAACAUUUAUGAACUGAACCCUCACAAGGAGCCAUGGAGAAAAAUGGAUCUUAGGGUAGGCCACUGACGCUGCACCGUUUCCAUGUAGAAGGCUGCUGUCCAAAGAAGUAAAAGCUGGAGGAAAUUUGGCCUUGUGUCAUAAAAUCGUGAAGUAACAUGACCUUUUCCAGUCACUCCUGUUUUAUAAUUCUCUGUCCUUGUAACUCUUGUCUGAAAAUAGAGCAUUUUUAGCAGGUAGCAAACAUUUUAAGUUACCCAAAUCGCUUACAGGGUUGUGGAGUGGUCCAUGCUUUCUAGGGGGGUGUACUGGCAAUUAGAAUUGAAACUGAACGAACAGUUUUCAGAUCUUUUAAACCUGAGAUGAUAUUUUUGAUAAUUUAAGAGACAAACAGAAAUGCUUGUACAUUUAUGAAGAAGGCAGUUCUGUCUUAAUGUAUUUACGAAUAAAUGGCAGUAAGCGCCAUGUUGGCCUGUAGUAGUUAGGGAAGCCACAGUGUGCUCACGGAGUGGCUGCUGUGUAGGGCCCACAUGUACAUGAAGCCUGGGAUUUGUUCAGUGAAUGAUGGGAGGGAAAAAUCCAUGUGUGAUAUGUUUUUGGUUAGCAUACAAGAUCUUGUAAAUAAAUACUUUUGUACCUGAAAAGAAAAAAAACAACAAAACAUAAAAAUGCCAGUUUGAUUAACUGUGUUUAUACUUUUAUAGAUUUUUUUUGUUUGUUUGGUUUUGGUUUUUUGAGACAGGAUCUUACUAUGUAAACCAGGCUGGCCUGGAACUCACAGAGAUCCACUUUCCUCUGCCUCUGCAUACUGGGAUUAAAGGCCUGUGCCACCAUAUCCAUUGACUUUUACAUGUUUUGAUACUUAA